CCUUCCUACACGGAAGCAGAGUAGGCGCCUGCCGUUUUGGACAGGCAGGUGCCUACUCUGCAUUGAUGCUGACCGGCGACCUAUGGCCGUGUGCCAUAGGUUCGCUAUCACUGGCUUAGAGUCUCAGCAGACCAAUCACUGGCGACACUCUGCACUUCUUUAAAAUCUAUUUCAGAAGCCGAAUGCCACUAGGAGAAUUGGAGACCCAGUGCAACCUUUAGUGUUAAACCAUGGGAAG
Molecule: non-coding RNA, 238 nt
Organism: Pelobates cultripes (western spadefoot toad)
Lineage: Eukaryota; Metazoa; Chordata; Amphibia; Anura; Pelobatidae
Source: the annotation of a GenBank genome assembly